This is a non-coding RNA of Schistosoma curassoni, 46 nucleotides long. Lineage: Eukaryota; Metazoa; Platyhelminthes; Trematoda; Strigeidida; Schistosomatidae. The record is from Rfam.
GCACUACAGAGGAGUCCCAUACUAGGAUGAAACGGCCGUCCAGUGC